GUCUAUGGCCAUACCACCCUGAAUGCGCCCAAUCUUGUCUGAUCUUGGAAGCUAAGCAGGGUCGAGCCUAAUUAGUACUUGGUAUGGGAGACCGCCUGGGAACACCGGGUGCUGUAGACU
RNAcentral lists this ribosomal RNA (120 nucleotides) under Aotus nancymaae (Ma's night monkey). Lineage: Eukaryota; Metazoa; Chordata; Mammalia; Primates; Aotidae. The record is from RNAcentral.